UACGAAGGGGGCUAGCGUUGCUCGGAAUCACUGGGCGUAAAGCGCACGUAGGCGGAUUGCUAAGUCAGGGGUGAAAUCCUGGAGCUCAACUCCAGAACUGCCUUUGAUACUGGCAAUCUCGAGUCCGGGAGAGGUGAGUGGAACUGCGAGUGUAGAGGUGAAAUUCGUAGAUAUUCGCAAGAACACCAGUGGCGAAGGCGGCUCACUGGCGCGGUACUGACGCUGAGGUGCGAAAGCGUGGGGAGCAAACAGG
RNAcentral lists this ribosomal RNA (253 nucleotides) under uncultured bacterium. RNAcentral's name for it is "partial 16S ribosomal RNA". It matches the Rfam family "Bacterial small subunit ribosomal RNA", at positions 524 to 776 of the family's 1533-position model. The record is from RNAcentral.